UUGUUGAUUGCACUUCUCCCUAUCGAUUCUUCUGUUUGGUUGCUUCUCUUUGCCUGUUCGUCGAUUCUUUUGUUUGGUUCUCUCUAUUGGUUUGGUUCUGAUUAGGUUGGACUGUAUUGGAUGAUGAAUUGGUUAGAUUUGGUUUGCCUCUAUCUGAUGAUCUAUUUAGAUGCUUCUAUUUGAUGGUUUCUUUCUUUGGCUGC
This 203-nucleotide long non-coding RNA is filed under the name Trifolium pratense (red clover). RNAcentral describes it as "long non-coding RNA (TPRA_LNC002639)". The record is from RNAcentral. Lineage: Eukaryota; Viridiplantae; Streptophyta; Magnoliopsida; Fabales; Fabaceae.